This is a long non-coding RNA of Salvia splendens (bonfire salvia), 1641 nucleotides long. RefSeq lists it as uncharacterized. The transcript has 3 exons. The record is from RefSeq and is a predicted model, not a curated record. Lineage: Eukaryota; Viridiplantae; Streptophyta; Magnoliopsida; Lamiales; Lamiaceae.
CAAAAGUACAAGCUAAAUUUAGCUAUAAGAAAACACAAUAACUUGAUGACAUGCAUACUAUUUUAUUAUGCUUCUUCUUUAAGCCCCACUCUUCAAUUAGAUUGGAUCUUAAUAAUAUGUUUCAAAGAUUUAUUACCACGUAAUUCCCCUUAACUAAAUCUUAGGAUUAGAAUUUUAUUUCGAAGUUAAGCAACUAAUUAAAGAAAAGAUUAUUUAUUUUGUUCCAGAAGUUCUAUCUUCUAUUAAAUUAUUUUAUCUUACAAAAUAAUUUACACUAGCCCAAACUAAACAUGUAUCAAUUAUAAUUAAUGAACCAACUGGGCCAAAUAAUAUCUUAUGUGGAAGCUAGCCCAAAGAUUAGAUAUUCGAAAAUGGGUUCAAGGAAUGUUUUCCUCCACUGGAUCAAGGAAAGAUUAAAUGGUAAUUAGCCCAAUGGCCCAAUCUAAUAUACACUCACACCAAGUCAUCUUCUCCCCCAUUCCUACCCUAACUAGGUGAGAGCAGCCCCCCUCCAUCUCUCUCUUAAACGAAGUCCACCACCGCCGCCUCCGGCGGUGUUUCCUCAACUCUCCUCCGUCAUCAUUCUAUCCUUCCUCAACUCUCUCUAUCUCUUCUCUAUUCACCGUACCGCCGCCGCCACCGCCGCUGCUGUAUGCGCGGCGGCUCACCGUCGCGGCCCUCCACCUCUCUCUCUCUCGGUAUCCCCUCCAUCUCCGAUCGCCGCUGCCACGCACCGCCUCAGUCCUCUCUCUUUCUCCAUCCAUCCAUCCGUCUCUCUCUUCUCUCCCUCUUUCUCCUCUAUCUCUCCCCCGCUCGGAUCUACUCAUACCGCCGCCGUCAUCCAAUCCGUCACUCUUCCAAACUCGCCCAGCCACCGCCGCCGUCAGCAGCGUCCAGCCACCGCCGAAGUCAAUGCACAGAGCCAUCGCCUGUCGGCUUCUCCGCCGGUUCGUGCAGUUGUCCGAACUCACCCCGAACAGCUCCGAACAGCCUCGAAGAGUCCCGCUAAACGGGAGAGAGACGGAUUGUGCAACAAAUAUUAUAGAGGAAGAGGAUUUGGUUGGGACGUGAGGGUGAGUAAAAGAAAUUGAUUGUGCAUCUAUAUGCGUACUCACCAAGGCAGUGAAAGUGACGGUGUAGCAAGUUAUUCUUAUCUCAAAUUAUAGAUGGAGUGAAAGUGAUUGUGUAGCAAGUUGGUGUAGCAAGUUCCUAUCUCCAAUUUAUUCUCCUUGACAUCAAGAGGGGAUAGAUAUGAUACGAUUUCUUCUGCCAUUCAAUUAAUGCAGCAUUUAAUGCUGUGCUGAAAAAAAACGAUUCUAUGAAAAAAUCCAGCUUAAGCUCGUGGCUUUGGUGUAGGAAAACAAAUAACAUCCAUAGCCUUCUCUGAUGAUGUACCAGGCUUUCUUGGAGUGCGAGCACGACCGUUGAACGGGCUGCGUGAACUUUUCUCUAAUUGUAAUAGAUAAGGAUUUGAUAAAUUUGUAUAAUAGUAAUUUAGCGGACUUCGGAGAUAUGCCGGACUUUAUAACUUUUUAUUUGGUGUUUUUUUUUUCUUGAAAUAUUCGUUCGAGAACGAAGCAACGAUUAUUUAUAAUUCCAAGAUCAAUUAUUAUACAUGGAGAUGACAGAUUUCGAAUACUA